Molecule: ribosomal RNA, 493 nt
Filed under: uncultured bacterium
Lineage: Bacteria
Description: partial 16S ribosomal RNA
Rfam family: Bacterial small subunit ribosomal RNA
Source: RNAcentral
AUUGAACGCUGGCGGCAUGCUUUACACAUGCAAGUCGAACGGUAACAGGUUAAGCUGACGAGUGGCGAACGGGUGAGUAAUGCAUCGGAACGUGCCCGAUCGUGGGGGAUAACGCAGCGAAAGCUGCGCUAAUACCGCAUACGAUCUGAGGAUGAAAGCGGGGGACCGUAAGGCCUCGCGCGAUCGGAGAGGCAGAUGUCAGAUUAGGUAGUUGGUGGGGUAAAGGCCCACCAAGCCGACGAUCUGCAGCUGGUCUGAGAGGACGACCAGCCACACUGGGACUGAGACACGGCCCAGACUCCUACGGGAGGCAGCAGUGGGGAAUUUUGGACAAUGGGCGAAAGCCUGAUCCAGCAAUGCCGCGUGCAGGAAGAAGGCCUUCGGGUUGUAAACUGCUUUUGUACGGAGCGAAAAGGUCCUUUCUAAUACAAGGGGCUCAUGACGGUACCGUAAGAAUAAGCACCGGCUAACUACGUGCCAGCCGCCGCCGUAA